Long non-coding RNA from Macaca fascicularis (crab-eating macaque), 1759 nucleotides. Lineage: Eukaryota; Metazoa; Chordata; Mammalia; Primates; Cercopithecidae. The record is from Ensembl.
UCACCUGAGCCUAGGAGGUCAAGGCUGCAGUGAGCUGUGAUUGCACCGCUGCACUCUAGCCUGGGCAACAGAGUGAGAUCCUGUCACCUCCACCCCAAAAAAAGAAAGAAAGAAACCAGAACACCAGGUGUGUCUUUGUGUUUUCACCCUGAUCACUGCCUCUCCUGCCAGCCCCCCGCUUUCCGGGGAAGAGCUGACUGUGGCGGGGGACAGAGCGCUGACUCCCACCCAGGCCGUUGGGACUACCCUAUCUAGGCCUUAAAAUACUAUGGGAGUUCCUAGCAAAUUCCACCUUAUUUGACUUCUCUGAACAGCCCAAACUCUGGUGGGCUCCUUCCCUUGCCUUCAUAGGAGACUUGAUGCAGGGGGCAGAGGUGAGAGCCCAGGGGGACAGCUGGCCUUCAGGAGGGGUCCUUGCUGAGUGUUUCCAGGAGAGCUUCGGCCUCUGGCAGCACCAUGUUCCAGGUGGCACUGAAGACCGGUGGGUGAUUUGCUGGGUGUGGGAACAGAAAUGCAGAGGAAUAAGCUAGUGUUUUCUUCCUUGAGACUUGUUGUUUUCCCUUUGACAGUUUAGAUGAAUAGUAACAAUAACCACCGAUAGGAAUGUCAUCCUGACCAGGGUCUGAAGUCUUCCAUGGAUGUUCCCAUCUAAUUCUCACAGUAGCCCUGUGGGCUUUUACGGUAAGAAUGAUUACUGACUCCACUUUUCACCAGUGUGGGAACUGAGACUUGGAGAGGUUCAGUGACCAGACGAUGGAGUCCAAGGUCCAGGGUCCAUGAUCCAGGGCCCAGAUCUUCACACCCCCCGCUCCCUCCCCUUCCAUUUCUCCUCUUGCUUUGGGUUUGGGAGGCCUCCGCAGGAGGACGAGCUUUCCCUACUGCCCCGCAGGGCACGAUGGCGAACGCCCCUCGCUAGUCAGGCACCCGAAGGAAUAAGGCAUGUGACUGUAUGCACAAUAUCCCAAUAAAGCAUGUGGGUGGUGGGGAUGGGUGGGCGAGGUUGAGAUCCAUUCUUUAAGGCAUGAAAUACUGUCUCUUUCAAAAAGAGGUUGUGCUGUUCUGCAGCUGGUUUUCUUUAACUACCAGAAACACCAGCAUUGUUUCAGAAAGCCACAAAAUUUCCAAACACAACGAGAAUUCCAAGAGGAUAGGGUGUGGGUUUUGGGGGCUGGGGUGGGUAUGGACAGGCUUUUUGGGGAGGGAAGACCACAGCCUGAGUGGUUUUGUCCCCCAUGGGUAAUGAAUUUCACAUGGCUCCACUGUCCUCAGUUUUAUCUGAAGGAUGCUCGAGUUGAAGCCUGGGAAAGAAGGGGAUCGGGAAGGAGCAGGCCCCAGGGAUUACAGUGACCAUAAAAACCAAACAGUGACCCAGGACAGCCCCAUUUGGUGUGGCCUCUAAUGACUGCCUUCCCUCAGCUGGUGUCAGAGGAGGCACAUGGUGUCAGUUAAGUUCCAAAGUGACAUUUGUAUAAAUAAGUUUGUAAAUGGGAAAUUACUUUUCCCCCCUCUCCAAUCUUAAGAAAACGUGCAGCCUAUAUCCAAAUAUUUCUGAAAUAGCAUCAACAGUAACAGCAAACAGGAGAGCUAAUGUCACCAACAAAACUUGUAAGGUCAACCCACAGAAAGAAGGGAGUAAAUGAGCAACACCUCGGACAGAGUUUCUCACGUGCCGAAAACACUCAGCGAUAUUUCUAACAGGCGUGGUGGCCCUUCAGUCAGAAGUGGCCUUUCUCUGGAGUCUGAAGUAAAAAAAAAAAAA